RNAcentral lists this ribosomal RNA (336 nucleotides) under uncultured bacterium. Its description in RNAcentral is "partial 16S ribosomal RNA". It matches the Rfam family "Bacterial small subunit ribosomal RNA", at positions 338 to 691 of the family's 1533-position model. The record is from RNAcentral.
CCUACGGGGUGCUGCAGUAGGGAAUAUUGCUCAAUGGGGGAAACCCUGAAGCAGCAACGCCGCGUGGAGGAUGAAGGUUUUCGGAUUGUAAACUCCUUUUGGUAGAGAAGAGAAGGACGGUAGCUAACGAAUAAGCACCGGCGAACGCCGUGCCAGCAGCCGCGGUAAUACGUAGGGUGCAAGCUUUCCUCGGAAUCACUGGGCGUAAAGAGCGCGUAGGCGGGAUAGCAAGUCAGAUGUGAACUCCUAUGGCUUAACCAUAGAACUGCAUUUGAAACUUUUAUUCUAGAGUAUGGGAGUGGUAGGUGGCAUUCUUGGUGUAGGCGUUCAAUCCGU